GCCGUGUCAACUGUAGCCAGUGGCUGCGGCUCCCUCUGUCUGGCGUCAUCUAGGGCGCUGCUCAGGAGAUUGCGGAGGCCAGUUUUCCAGUUGGCUUACGUGUUUAUCGCGUAGGGCAGAGACUUGCCAAAUUCCCGGCCAGCGGAGCGGCGAGGAUGGAGACUUAGGGGAAGUUAAACAGCCUUGUGGGCGGCCUCGCGGCUCCAAAACCAGGCUCUAGGCGGCGGCGACCGCAGCCGUUAGGGAGGCCGCCCCAGGCCGAGCAGAGGCCUGGAGGGGAAUCUUGAUCCUGGGCCAGACACCUGUCAAGAGGAGGCGGAGCGUCGUGCCUCCAGGAAGACUGGAUGAAUAUUCUCCAGGAUGAAUAUUCUCCAGGAGCCGGACGAAGGCGAAGAAGUCUUUACAGACAGAGGAAAUUGAAUGCCGUCUGAUGCCAGACCUCAGGCCUCACUGAUGCUGCAAUUGAUAUGGAUCCUUUCCUGGAUUAAAGCUUGGCUUUUAAAAAAGAUUUCAAUAAAUUGCUUAUACCUAUAAAGAGAUGCAGAAGAACCUUCAAAUCAAGCAAAGGACUUGAAGAAAGAGAAAAAAGACAUGAAGAAGAGGAUGUCAUUUAGGUGAAGGUGAUGGAUACAGAAUCUGAGUCUGAGGGGAAAUCUGACUCUGAAUCAGGAUCCGAUAAGGAGCAGGACAAGAUGGAGGAUAAGAAGCUGCCAGAAGAAAAGCCUGGACCCUCUGGCAUGGCACUCAGAGUCUUGAUAUGUCUGAAGAAACUGUCCAAGCCAUUAAUGUGAAAUUGAACCUUUGGAAUGUAAUCUUCGAAGUGAAUCUGGAGAGAGUAGAGGUGCCUGAGUUGAAGGACGAAGAGGUUCCAGAGACCAUCCUUCCCUUGUUACGCUAACAUCAUUUUCAUAACUACCAUCAUCCUUUUCAUCACCAGCCGCACAUCCCUAUCACUUUAGUCUUGUAACAAACAUUGCGCUUAAACUCUGCAGGGUCCUGAGCUAAACUUGGGGACAUCGGCUCAGGAAACAUCUCAGGAUCUGAGUUAAUGAAGACAAAGACUUCCAGGGUCUUCAUGCUGUCCAUCUGCAUCAGGCUAUACAUACUUUUGAAAUCCCAGAGGUCUUCAGUCUCCCUGUGGGUCAAGGAGAUGUGCAGUAUUUAAAGUGGAUUGAGGACGGCAUGGAAGAGGAUUGAGUGGGGAAAGCUUUUUGUGCAUUCUGCUGGCUAUCUCCAGUGGCUGCCUCCAGCCUUCAUCAACUGCACUCUGGGGAAGAGGAGGACACCUUCUACCUCCCAGCAUCUCUGGAUUCCAUGUUCCUGUCAGCACGGAGGAGCUAAAUGGCCUGUGGAGGCUGAAGGUCUGAGGCUUCUAAAGCUGGAAGAAAAGGCUGGGCCAGUCAGGCCAAGCAAGAACAUAGGGUAACUUGUCUCUGAGUGCUUCAUGGUUAAGGGGGAUAAGGGGGCAUGAGGACACGAGGAUGGUUACAUGUAGUGACUGAAGGGAAGAGGCAGUGAGGGUGAGACUUGUCAUCUUGAGUCAGUAGGCCUACCUCAAGUGCCUAGGAUGUAAUUGCUUUGCUGCUUCUCAUGGAGAGUGGCCCUAGUGACCUUGUUCACCUGGAAGAGUAUGGGAUGAAUGUCUCCUCCUACGGGGACUGGCAAGUGCUUUAUCAAAAGGAUAAAUUGCUAAUGGUGGCAUUUCAGGAUUAUUUCUCCUUGCUAAGAGGCUUUUGUUGGUCCUGAAUGCUGAGGAGUUAGGACUAGGAAUGGACUCCAUGAACCUGUGUAUGACUCAGGGAAUAUUAGGACUUUGGCACAGCCUCAUGGGUUGGGAGUAAGUCUUGGCUCUUCCCUAGCCUGAAUGACAGAUACCAGAUUGUUCUGGUGUUUUGUCAGUGAAGAUGUAGAUUCUGAGCCCACCAAACUACCCUUUUCACUUGAACAUAGAAAUAGCCCCAGGAAUCGGACAGACCUGUGUCUUUAGGUUUGUUUCAUAGAGCCCCAGGGGUUGACAGUAGUACCUUGGAGACUGCCUGCAUGGGGAUUUUUUUUAAAGUGUUCUUUGUUAAAGGUUUGUAAACCACCUCUCUCAGCCAGUUUUCAUUUUAUAAAUUACUGCAGGAAACUGAACUGCAUGGAGGUCCAGAAAGUGGGCAGUGCAGACUGUAGUGCUGGUAACUACUGUACUUCUUGGAUCUUCGUGCUCCCAAAUACCAAAUGGAAGACGAUCUCUGAGAGUCCUUUGCAAAGAUCUUGUAGGGACUUUAGGCUGGGGCCUUUGGGAAGUUCCUGAGGAUUCCAAUGGAGAUUUUGAGGGAUUGUCUUAGAAGAACAAAGAGAAUGAUAAUGGUGAUGUCCCUACUUUUUACAACAGAUCAUGUUGUGAUAUAUAUGCAAACCUGUGUAAAGUAAACCCUAUCUAAAAUGUGCUGGGGACCCAAGAUGGACUGCCUGUAUUGCUUCCAGGAUAAAAGUCCAAUUUCUAGCUCUGGUUUUUAUAACCUUGCUUCAGCUCACCUUUUCCGUCAUCAUCCCCUGCAUCUGCUCUCCCACGCUGGGAAAUGGAUGGCUCCACUAUACUGUGUGAUAUUAUUGCUAUGUUCAUGCCGUACCCUCUGCCUGGAAUGCCUUUCUGCAUGAAUGCCUGUGAAAUGUUGCUGCUCCUUUGUAUGGCCUGGCUUCCAUGGUUGGCAGGAAUCUCUUCUUUUGUGGUAUUCCUGCCAUCUUUGUGCAUCACAGUCAGCUUAGUAUUCCUAGAUUGUAAGCUACUUGAGGAUGGGGCAUGUCUUGCACCUGUUUGGCAAAUUGAUGUUUAAAGUAUUUAAAUAACUAAAGCUCUCUCUACAGUACAUAGUCACUUGUGAUUUAUGGAAUUGGCAAAAUUCAACUUUUUUCCUUGAAUAUUCUUAAAGUGAGACUAAUUCCAAAGGAGAUUUUUCUGUCUGUGGCCUUCAUUGGGUGGUUUGCUGUUAGAAAGCUUUUGGUGGCCUUCCUCUUCCCUGGUGUCAAGGUUGACUGUAAUAGGAAAUGGGACGGGAGAGGGCCAUCUCUGCCAGGCAUUGUCAUAGGUUCUUAACAUUAUUUAAUCCUUAUAAUGCAAUGUUUUCCUCACUUUACAGAUGAAACCUGAGACCAGAGAACAUGUAACAUGUAAAGUACAUGGCAGAAUUAGGAUGUGAACCCAACUCUGAUUCUAAACCUAAUGCUCUUACUCUUUCAUGCAGAGGUUCAGUCAGUUCUUUGUAGGCCAUAGAUCCAGAGAAGCUGCCGUAGCCAAAAAUAAAGUUGUUAGUUUUUAAAACAUCUAUGUGGUAAGUUGGUCUGGCACUUAAAAAUGUAUCGUUUGCCGGGCACAGUGGCUCAUACCUGUAAUCCCAGCACUUUGGGAGGCCAAGGUGGGCGGAUCACGAGGUCAAAAGAUCGAGACCAUCCUGACCAACAUGGUGAAACCCCGUCUGUACUAAAAAUUAGCUGGGUGUGGUGACACAUGCCUCUAGUCCCAGCUACUCAGGAGGCUGAGGCAGGAGAAUCGCUUGAACCCAGGAGGCAGAGGUUGCAGUGAGCCGAGAUCUUGCUACUGCACUCCAGCCUGGCGACAGAGCGACACUUCAUCUAAAAAAAAAAUAAAUGUGUUGUUUACUACUCACCACAGAUCUGCAGGAGUUCACUGAUCUCUGGGGUCUGCCUUAUUGCCAACUUAUGUGGUUUGGUCACUAUUACAAACCGUCAUCCCAGAAUGAUGAUGCAGAGGCUAGGGCUAGGACCCAGACCAGUGUUUCCGCGUGGGAAUUCCCUCCCAGUAUUUCUUCGGAAAUGUAUGUUUUUUGAAUCCAUAAACCCUAGAAAAAUCAGUUGAGGAAAUGAGAAGUAUUGUAAUUAUUCUGUGAAUACUAACACUUACCAUUAUAGAGACAUUACUAGUUUGAAAGAAUCCAACUUCAUCGAAUACUAACGUACUGAAUUGAAGGCUGUAAGAACUGAGACAGGAGUAUAGCAGAGAGAAACAGUCACCAUCUAAUUAGCCCUACUUUUGGUUGCUGUGAUGUCAUUACGUCUGUAUGUCUGGCCAUAUCAUCUGCUAAUGGUGAGUUCUUGCAAAUAAAAUGAUUUGAUAAACAACCUAGCAUACUUUAUACAAAUCUUACGAAUGGUGUUCUGAGAAAUAAACUUUGGAAGCAAAAUAA
Molecule: long non-coding RNA, 4187 nt
Organism: Piliocolobus tephrosceles (Ugandan red Colobus)
Lineage: Eukaryota; Metazoa; Chordata; Mammalia; Primates; Cercopithecidae
Exons: 4
Source: RefSeq, a predicted model, not a curated record